Long non-coding RNA from Cygnus atratus (black swan), 1127 nucleotides. RefSeq lists it as uncharacterized. The record is from RefSeq and is a predicted model, not a curated record. The transcript is spliced from 2 exons. Lineage: Eukaryota; Metazoa; Chordata; Aves; Anseriformes; Anatidae.
GCCCGGGCCGGCGGCGGGUUGCUGAGGGACGGAGGAGGAAGGGGUCUGCUGGCAGCCUUCAGGGCCUCCCCGCCGCUGCUGGGGGGUCUCGCUGGGGCGGGCGGCGGCAGCAGGCCGUGCGGAGCUCGGUCUCUGCGCGGAUUUCCUGCGGGGCCGGGCAUCCAGGCCGGGCAUCCAGGCCGGGCUUCCCCUCCCCCUGCCGGCGGCCCGCUCCGAGUCUCUGCUUCCUCCUUUCCGCACCCGCAGUCCUGCGCCCCCCGCCGACCCCCGGGACUGCUCCCAGGGGGCUUGCUGCGAGUAUGGGCAGCGUCGUGACUUGACAGGCAGUGCCCCGGUCCUGCCUCGCUGAGCUCAUGUGGCUAUGCAUAUGUGUGGCCUCGGCUUGGUUAUCAUUUCUGUGUGCCUCAGGGCUCGUCCUUAAUAGGGUGAUGCUAAGCUGCCAGGUGUGUUGGGGCUUAAUUCAUUAACCUUCUGUCAAGUGUUUUGAUAUCUAGCUAGGGCAAGUGCUACAGGAACAGCAGACACCUGUGUAAUGGCUGAAAUAAUCUUCACACACAUCCUCAUACUUGGAGACUGGAUUCCAUCCUCGUUUGCUUGCAGUUGUCACUUUGAAGGCCUCCAAAAUGUUUCAGCAGGAGAAUUGGAUUCCUGUUACAGCUCUUACAGGAAUUACGUAUAUGUAUACCUAGAGAAAUUGCUGCAUGCUCGUUGGUGAUGGAUUCUUCUGUAUUUGUUGCUCAUACAAAAGGUCUGGCAGUAGUCAUCUUGAAUCAGUUUAUAUCCACAAGGUUGCUGCAAUACUAGUUAAGAAGACUAUUUUUUUUAAUGUUGUUACCCUUCCCAAAUGGCUCUGCAGCUGAUACAGCAAAUGGAUUUAUGUGAUCACCCUUCAUCCACUUCAGUACAAAGUCAAAUAUGGAAAGUUGUUUGAGCCAGCCUUGUGGAUCCUGUAGUGAAGAUAAAGGGCAUCUUCUACCUGUGCUAAUGAGUUAGAAACCUUUAAAAGGGAAAUUCUGUUUAAUGUUAGAUGAUUACAAUAAAAAAGCCUACAAUCCUUGAACCUUAUAUUUUAGAAUGGUUUCUAAUGUAGAAGAUGAAUAAACCAUGGGAAUUUCUCUGUGGUCAAA